CUCUGUGCCAGCUCCUCCAGGACCUCCACAGACUGUCUGUGAAAUUGCAGCUGUGAUUCGACCAAAGCUCUCCUUGUCGACUAUAGUUUGGAAAGGGUCGAUGAAGUUCUGUUUGACGUCAAUGUCUAGAGAGUCUUUUACUUCUGCCAGUCUCUUCAUGGCCUCUCCCAUCUCCACUAAAGCGCCACCUAUGGAUCCGACGAGGAACAUGCACAAAAAUGUUAUGUUAAAAACAAA
Long non-coding RNA from Sinocyclocheilus grahami, 237 nucleotides. RefSeq lists it as uncharacterized. The transcript has 2 exons. The record is from RefSeq and is a predicted model, not a curated record. Lineage: Eukaryota; Metazoa; Chordata; Actinopteri; Cypriniformes; Cyprinidae.